Molecule: ribosomal RNA, 301 nt
Filed under: uncultured bacterium
Lineage: Bacteria
Description: partial 16S ribosomal RNA
Rfam family: Bacterial small subunit ribosomal RNA
Source: RNAcentral
CAGCCGCCGCGGGAAUACGAAGGGGGCUAGCGUUGCUCGGAAUUACUGGGCGUAAAGGGAGCGUAGGCGGACAUUUAAGUCAGGGGUGAAAUCCCAGAGCUCAACUCUGGAACUGCCUUUGAUACUGGGUGUCUUGAGUGUGAUAGAGGUAUGUGGAACUCCGAGUGUAGAGGUGAAAUUCGUAGAUAUUCGGAAGAACACCAGUGGCGAAGGCGACAUACUGGAUCAUUACUGACGCUGAGGCUCGAAAGCGUGGGGAGCAAACAGGAUUAGAUACCCCUGUAGUCCCUGUCUCUUAUAC